GCUGGGUGCAGUUGUGCACUCCUGUAAUCCCAGUGUCUUGGGGGGCUGAAGCAGGAGGAUCAUGAGUUCAAAGCAGCCUUAGCAACAGAGAGAUGCUAAGCAACUCAGUGAGACCCUGUCUCUA
This 124-nucleotide small RNA is filed under the name Marmota monax (woodchuck). Lineage: Eukaryota; Metazoa; Chordata; Mammalia; Rodentia; Sciuridae. The record is from RNAcentral.